This 778-nucleotide ribosomal RNA is filed under the name Salmonella enterica. RNAcentral's name for it is "partial 23S ribosomal RNA". The record is from RNAcentral. Lineage: Bacteria; Pseudomonadati; Pseudomonadota; Gammaproteobacteria; Enterobacterales; Enterobacteriaceae.
CGAUGAGUAGGGCGGGACACGUGGUAUCCUGUCUGAAUAUGGGGGGACCAUCCUCCAAGGCUAAAUACUCCUGACUGACCGAUAGUGAACCAGUACCGUGAGGGAAAGGCGAAAAGAACCCCGGCGAGGGGAGUGAAAAAGAACCUGAAACCGUGUACGUACAAGCAGUGGGAGCACAGGUUUACCUGUGUGACUGCGUACCUUUUGUAUAAUGGGUCAGCGACUUAUAUUCUGUAGCAAGGUUAACCGAAUAGGGGAGCCGCAGGGAAACCGAGUCUUAACCGGGCGUUAAGUUGCAGGGUAUAGACCCGAAACCCGGUGAUCUAGCCAUGGGCAGGUUGAAGGUUGGGUAACACUAACUGGAGGACCGAACCGACUAAUGUUGAAAAAUUAGCGGAUGACCUGUGGCUGGGGGUGAAAGGCCAAUCAAACCGGGAGAUAGCUGGUUCUCCCCGAAAGCUAUUUAGGUAGCGCCUCGUGAAUUCAUCUCCGGGGGUAGAGCACUGUUUCGGCYAGGGGGYCAUCCCGRCUUACCAACCCGAUGCAAACUGCGAAUACCGRAGAAUGUUAUCACGGGAGACACACGGCGGGUGCUAACGUCCGUCGUGAAGAGGGAAACAACCCAGACCGCCAGCUAAGGUCCCAAAGUCAUGGUUAAGUGGGAAACGAUGUGGGAAGGCCCAGACAGCCAGGAUGUUGGCUUAGAAGCAGCCAUCAUUUAAAGAAAGCGUAAUAGCUCACUGGUCGAGUCGGCCUGCGCGGAAGAUGUAACGGGGCU